AAAUGGAGUGCUCACUGUGACUGUUCCCAAGGAGGAAGAGAAGAAGCCUGAUGUCAAAUCCAUUAAGAUUUCUGGCUAAGGAAACAAAUGCAAAUCUGCUACUAAAAUGGUUGCUUGGGAUCAAAAGUUCUGAAUAUGAAAUAAAAUUUUAAGCAACAAUAUGUCUUUUACUGAGUAAUCAGUGAUAUUAAUCUUUAUAUUAGCAAAAUGAUUACAUUCUUAAUUAUCGUAUAAAUUCUCUUUUAAAAAAAUUUUAAAAAAUUCAAUCAGAUCAGAUAGAUUCAAAAUGCAUAUUAUUAGUCAAGAAACAAAUCAAAUCAUUUUUUUUCUGCCUUAAAUUAAAUCAUCUAAUAAUUUUUUAACGGUCCUGCAUUAGCCACCUCUCUUACAACUUUACCCUUCUUCUUUCCCUAAUAUUACCCCUCCUAACUACCUAAAUCGCUACCAGUUUUGCGCUAUCACAGGGGUAAAAUGUUAACGGAUUCACCAAACAACAACCCAGCUGCCUGUCAGCUCCGCGCCCUCAGCCCCAUAUCCAGACAAAACUCGCCGGAUUCUCCGCUUAUUCUAAUUUCUCUACCCAAUUCAAAAUCUGAAAACCUACCAUAAUAUGAAAUAAAACCAUUAUAAAUUCAGUCAAUUUUCACUUCACUCUCCACUUCAUAGAAAUUUUGAAUUCGAAAUUCGAUUUAGGUUUUAGGGAUUCGUUUCAGGAAAAAAAAAGGCUACCAUGAAGGCUUCGUUAAAGUUCCGUGAAGAUCAGAAGCCACUCUUUCGAGCCAAGGUUCCUUUGAGCAUCUUAGGCUUGCCUUUUCAAUCAGGGAUUGUCGCCGGCGAGUCCAAGGAGCUCACUCUCAAUCUCGCUACCUUCUUCGAAUCUGGACCCUCCAUCAAGGUCGCUUACCGUCCCAAUGAUGGCUGGAACCCUUUUUCUCUUAUCUUCAAGACUGGAAUGGGACCCUUUGGUUCGCCCGUGGCCAGCUCCAUGCUCAUGAGUGCGGAGUUCAAUUUGCUUGGGAGGGGGAAUCCUAGUUUUAUGCUUCAUUUCAAGCCCAGGUUUGGGGAUUUUUCUAUUAAGAAAUCGCAGUCGUCUUCGGUCUUUGAGAAGGGCGGGAAUAUGUUUGGGUCUUUGCCCAAUUGCAAUGAUGAUGGAUCGAUUGAGGUGGUGGAGUCUCCGGUGAUAAACGGAGGCGGCGUAGGGGUGGCGAACGGAAUUUCGGGAAAGAAAAUUUCGGUUUUGCCGCCGCCUACUGCCAGGGCGAUCGCAAGCGCAUUCUCUGGCGUGGAAGUGACAGCAAGUACAAAGCUUCCUGUGAGGAGCAGCGCGGUGGUCAAUUUCAGAUGGGGAGUUAGGGUUCCUGCGGAAUUUAAGAAUGGUACUGUUGGUGAUUCAACAGCUGGGAUCAAUCUUAGAAAGAUUCCGUUUUUGGUGAUGAAUAAGAUAGGGAUUGAGCAUAUUGAUGGUGAUGAUUCGAAAUCAAAAGGGACGGCAUCUGCCCCAAUGAAGUUGAGCUCGGAAUUGACAAAUACUGAUAUGGCGGAGGCUUGUUUGACGGUGAAGCGGCAACUGGAGGUGUUGCAAGCUGAGAAUGGGCUAUUGAAGAAAGCUGUGGAAGAUCUCAGGCAGGAAAUUGCUUCAGGUAAGGUAAGUUUGCCGGAUUUCAAUUCUGGCAAAUACAGAGAAAAUGAGAGGAACGGAAUGAAAAAUGUGAAUAGCAGUAGAAUUGAAAGGAGAAGCAAUGAGAAGAAAUCAAUGGAGGGGGAUGUGCAUGAGGAGUUGAAGAAGUCAUUGAAGGGAACUGUUGGUGUUGGUGCUUGAAUUUGUAGAAAUCUCUGUAGGGUAUAUACAUGUAAAAGCUGCUAAGUGUGUUUAUCUAGACUUAUUAGCAGGUUUGUUUUGUUCAAUUCUAUGCCAAAUUUUGUAAGGAUUGUUUAGGGUUUUAUAAAAUGUGUUCUAUAUUGGUUGCUUGGUUGAUCCUGUGGAAAAAUGGAAUGCAUGUUUUUGCAUUAUUUAUAUGCAGAAGCUAAUUUGGAUUGAACAUUUUGGAUCAUAGCAAGCAGGACACUUUAACAUAUGAAGGAAUUUGAAAUAUAGUUUGAUAGUCAUAACGAAA
This 2114-nucleotide unclassified non-coding RNA is filed under the name Hevea brasiliensis (rubber tree). Lineage: Eukaryota; Viridiplantae; Streptophyta; Magnoliopsida; Malpighiales; Euphorbiaceae. The record is from RNAcentral.